GCGGCCUAUCAGCUUGUUGGUGGGGUAAUGGCCUACCAAGGCGACGACGGGUAGCCGGCCUGAGAGGGCGACCGGCCACACUGGGACUGAGACACGGCCCAGACUCCUACGGGAGGCAGCAGUGGGGAAUAUUGCACAAUGGGCGGAAGCCUGAUGCAGCGACGCCGCGUGAGGGAUGACGGCCUUCGGGUUGUAAACCUCUUUCAGCAGGGACGAAGCGAAAGUGACGGUACCUGCAGAAGAAGCGCCGGCCAACUACGUGCCAGCAGCCGCGGUAAGACGUAGGGCGCGAGCGUUGUCCGGAUUUAUUGGGCGUAAAGAGCUCGUAGGCGGCUUGUCGCGUCGACUGUGAAAACCCGCGGCUCAACCGCGGGCCUGCAGUCGAUACGGGCAGGCUAGAGUUCGGUAGGGGAGACUGGAAUUCCUGGUGUAGCGGUGAAAUGCGCAGAUAUCAGGAGGAACACCGAUGGCGAAGGCAGGUCUCUGGGCCGAUACUGACGCUGAGGAGCGAAAGCGUGGGGAGCGAACAGGAUUAGAUACCCUGGUAGUUCACGCUGUAAACGUUGGGCGCUAGGUGUGGGGGACCUCUCCGGUUCUCUGUGCCGCAGCUAACGCAUUAAGCGCCCCGCCUGGGGAGUACGG
RNAcentral lists this ribosomal RNA (642 nucleotides) under uncultured bacterium. RNAcentral describes it as "bacterial SSU rRNA". It matches the Rfam family "Bacterial small subunit ribosomal RNA", at positions 233 to 885 of the family's 1533-position model. The record is from RNAcentral.